Molecule: transfer RNA, 66 nt
Filed under: Agrius convolvuli (morning glory sphinx moth)
Lineage: Eukaryota; Metazoa; Arthropoda; Insecta; Lepidoptera; Sphingidae
Description: tRNA-Pro
Source: RNAcentral
CAAAAAAUAGUUUAUAAAAAAUAAUAAUUUUGGGGAUUAUUGAUAAAGGAUUUCCUUUUUUUUUGA